CUAUGUCUCACUGUUCUUCAAAAGCCAGAAAUCAAUUUUUAACUAUAUAGACAAAGUGACUUGAACUUAUAUAUGCAGAUAACUCAAAAAUAUCAGAAAUGUGGAUUAAAAACAGAUUCAUCUGUAAGGUUAUUAAUAUAUAUAUAUAGCAGCACAUACCAGAAAAUUUUGGUUAGUUGUCAAGGCUUAAUAUUGUCAUGGAACAAUUUGAUUGCAGCAUGGCAUAGACAACAACCAGGAUAAAAUGCAACCGGUUGGGGUUCCAAUGAGGACUAGUUGUAGCAUGUACACACACUUAAUGCGUUCUUCAGAAUGGCUUGUCUUACAAGUUACUCACCAAAGGAAGACAUGAAUGUAAUAGGAGAGGUCAAUGUCACCCAUGUUACAUGUUUCCUGUCAUUGUCUGACAGAUUAAAUGUCUCAAAUGUAACCGGAAAUAAACGGCAAAGUAGUCGGUCCUUAGUCGGUUAUCCUUUCAAGUCUUAGCCAUGGAAUUCUUUAUCAUCCUUUGGAAGACAACACCAUGUGAUUCCCCAUGAACCCAUGUCUUUCUCAUUACCGAUCGGACCCCAUCAGUUGCACCUUCACCACUCAUUCCAUAUCCCCCCCUUAAUAAUUGAUGAACAUUAUUUCCUCUCUGCCCCUUACAUUUAUAUAUACAAGUAAGAUUAAGUUCAUUGCCAACACCUACCUUCAACAUUCUCAAGCUUGCUUUCUAAGUUAUCUGAGAUCCUCCACUUCUUCCUUUUUUAAAGCAUACAUCUAUUGUAAACAAAAAUGGCUAUCCGCUUGCCUCGUAUCAUAAGCUCUAAGAAAGUUCCCAAGGGCUACUUUGCAGUUUAUGUUGGAGAAAACCAGAAGAGGUUUGUGAUACCAGUGUCAUUCUUGAGCCAGCCUUUAUUUCAAGAUUUGCUAGGCAAGUCAGAAGAAGAGUUCGGAUAUAGUCAUCCUACCGGUGGUCUCACAAUUCCCUGCAAUGAAGAUAUUUUUCUUGAUGUUACCUCUCGCUGGAAUCAAUUGUGAGAGAAUCAACACAAAUCUGCCUAUACAAUUUUGUAAAGCCAAAAUGUCUAACACCAUGUAAACAUUUUUUCUCCAUCUCUUUUGCCUUGGGGAGCAAAUACAAGUCUCCCUAAGUGAAAAAUUACAGAUGGUUGUUACUGUAACUUCUAUCAAUCAGCAUGGAAAAUGACAGUUCAAAACACAUCAUUCAAUUGGAAUUUUAUUUACUUCCAGAAUUUCCUAUCAUUAAUUUAACUAUAAAUGAUCUAACUUGUUCUAAAUUUACUUUAUUAUACAUGCUAAGUUAUUCGGACUCUUCGUUUGCUUUAGAAUACACGCAUCCAACACAUUCAAACAUGAGUACAAAAUAGCAUGAUUCUCCAAACAAAUGAAAAAACUUAUAUCCCCUUAUUGAAAUCUUUUAGCCAAGGAGUUAAAGCUUUGUUUCGUUUUUCAAGUAGGAAUUAGUCUUUAUAUAUAAUAAUUAACAGUACAUGACUUAGUAAAAAUUGUUUUGAAGGUAAAACAUAUAAAAUGACUUUUUUUAUUAGCCAUAAAAUACAUAUAAAAAAACAUACAAAAUUGCUUAAAUGUAAAGAUGUAAAUGAAAGAGGAUAACCUUUGUGACAAAAAAGAAAACUAAAAUGAAGUUAUUUAAAUGAAAUAGGGACUUGAAUAUAACUGUGCAAAAUAUAACAUGACCUAAAAUGAAAUUAACCCAAUAUCAAACUUUGAAUAUUAACUCAGAUUUUAAUGGCCUUCUUUUCUUUCUUUCUUUCACGGUUUUUUUUUUACAAAGUCAUGUACGGUUAAUAAUGAAUAGUCAAAAUAUGCAGACAACACUCAACAAACAUGCCAUCAAACAAGUUGACCGAAACCAGAUUCAUCUGUAAGGUUAUCCAAAUAUAUAUAUAGCAGCACAUACCAGAAAUUUUGUGAGCUGUCAAGCUAAGUUUUGGCUUCACCCCUAUGGAACUAUUUGAUUGCAGCACGGCGUAGACAAGAAUAAGGAUAAAAUGCAACCAAUUGGGUGCUGGUGAGGACUAGUUGCAGCCUGUAGGACACACUUCAGGUGCUCUUCACAAGAGUUUGUCUUACGGAUUCUUACAGAUCCACACCUUAAUAAAAAUCAACAUGCUUGGUGAAGUCAGAAUGUAAGAGGAGGUCAAGGUCACCCAUGUUACAUGUUCCCUGUCAUUGCCUGACGGAUUAUAUGUCUUUAAAGUAGGAACCGACAUAAAUGGUGCAGUGGUACAACUCUUUUAUUGUGAAGAAGCAUUUUACUGGUCCAGAUCUUCCAUAUUUGGGUGGGCUCCUUGGUCGGUUUCUAUUGCCAGAAGGGGUAGGCAAACUAUUUUUUCAAAGUAUUUUGCCAUGGAAUUCUUGAUAAUGAGUUAGACGACAACACCAUGUGAUCCCCUAUAAUGAAGCCAUGUAGAACAUGAUUUUUCUCUCUACCCCUUGCAUCUAUAUAUACAGAGUAGAUUAUGUUCACUGGCAAUUCCUAUCUUCACAUCCUCAACUACUAAAGUACUUUACCUUUGCUUUCCUUUUUCAAAGCAUACAUCUAUCUAAAACAACAAUGGCUAUUCGCUUGCCUCGUAUCGUUAGCUCUAAGAAAGUUCCCAAAGGCUACUUUGUGGUUUAUGUUGGAGAAAACCAGAAGAGGUUUGUGAUACCGGUGUCGUUCUUGAACCAGCAAUUAUUUCAAGAUUUGCUAGGCAAGUCAGAAGAAGAGUUCGGAUAUAGUCAUCCUACAGGCGGCCUCACGAUUCCCUGCAACGAAAACACCUUUCUUGAAGUUACCUCUCGUUUGUACUAAUUGUGAGAUGAUUAACAGAAACCAGGCAAUACAAUUUUGUAAAGUAAACAUCACUAAUACAUGUAAACAUUUUUUUCUCCAUCCUUUUUGCCUUGGGAAGCUGAUUAAAUCUCCCCAAGUGGAAAACUAGAGAUGGUGGUUAGCGUAACACUCCAAUAAAUCAGUAAUGACAGUUCCAAACAUAUCAUUCAGUUGUCAUUUCAUUUCCUUUCUGAAUUUUUUACUUGCUCGCGUUAAUUCCAUCUUUAAUAUAAACUGUAAAUGAUCUACCUUGUUCUAAAAUUACUUUCAAACAUGAGUGCAUGCUAAGUUAUUUGGAGUCGGACCCCUCAUUUUCUUUCGAUUGCAUGUGUCCAACACAAAUUCAAACAUGAGCACAAAGUUCGGGUAAGAUAGACUACAAGUAUCCUUUUGCAUGGUAGUAGCUUAUUAAAGGAUCCAUUUCGUGUUACAAAUUUCAAAGUAAUUUUCUUAAUGCGGAUUUGAUAAAGAAUUAAGAUAUGUAAAGACGUGAAGCAAGGGACUAAGAGGUUAAUAUAACAAAGCUAAUAACAAAAUAUUUUAAAUAAAAAAGAGAAGAGUAAAAGAGAUGCAAGUUCGUGAUGCAUAUUGAUUAGUAUUAUGAGAAAGUACACUUCAUUCUUGUUACUUGUUUGGUUUUAUAUUUUAAUGGUUAAUCAACAUUGGUAAAAUUCAAUAAAUUUUCAAAUACUCUAAACUCCAGUCAUGUAUAUGGAAACAAAUAUACAAAUGACUGAAUGUAAAAUCAAAUAGCUUUUUGACCAUUUUGAGAUAAGAGUAAGAGGACUACAAACUCCUAUUUCAUUUAUAUAUUUUUUGCAUCAGCUAUUAAGAAGCCUUAGAGAUGAACAUAUUCUACCCUUGCAACUUUUCCCAGUUCAUAAGAGUUAUGUGUUUGUGAGUACCUGCACUUGUUCAGACUAAGCAGAUUUAGGAAUUGAUAAAUCAGGCUGGAAGAGGAGUUUGGCUUUGAUCAUCCAAGAGGUAGUCUCGCAGUCCCAUGUGCAGAAGAAGCCUUCAUUGAACUUUCUUGUAGUUUGAAUAGCUUUCUGACAUUGACCUGACAUAUUUUCUCCCGCAUAUAAUAACGAAUAGUCAAAAUAUGCAAAGAUCGAAACAAACAUGCCACCAGAAAGGUGGACUAAAAACAGAUUUAUCUGUUAUGUUUUCCAUAUAUAUAUAUAUAUAGCAGCACAUACCAGAGACUUUGUGAGCUGUCAAGCUGAAUAUUGUCUUCAACCCUAUGGAACUAUUUGAUUGCAGCACGGCAUAGACAACAAACCUGGAUAAAAUGCAACAAGUUGGGUUCAGAUGAGGAGUUGUUGUAGCCUGUAGGACACACUUCAGGCGCUCUUCACAAGGGUUUGUCUUACAAGUUUUAUGUGAAGUCUGUAUGAAAUAGGAGGUCAAAGUCACCCAUGUUAUUUGUUCCCUAUCAUUGCAUGGCAGAUUGUAUGUCUCUAAAGGUUUCCUCUAUUGUCACUAGUGAAGUAAUAAAAAUCUUUACUAGGAAGAAGCUUUUAAUGGAUCCAAAUCUUCCAAAUCUGAGUAGGUCCUUAGUC
This 4407-nucleotide long non-coding RNA is filed under the name Gossypium barbadense (sea-island cotton). Its description in RNAcentral is "long non-coding RNA (GBAR_LNC002776)". The record is from RNAcentral. Lineage: Eukaryota; Viridiplantae; Streptophyta; Magnoliopsida; Malvales; Malvaceae.